GUCUACGGCUAUGCCACCAUCGACAAGCCCGAUCCCGUCUGAUCUCGGAAGCUAAGCAGGGUUGGGCCUGGUUAGUACUUAGAUGGGAGACCACCUAGGAAGACCAGGUGCUGUAGGCG
Molecule: ribosomal RNA, 119 nt
Filed under: Pteropus alecto (black flying fox)
Lineage: Eukaryota; Metazoa; Chordata; Mammalia; Chiroptera; Pteropodidae
Source: RNAcentral